GACGAACGCUGGCGGCGUGCUUAACACAUGCAAGUCGUACGGUAAGGCCCUUUCGGGGGUACACGAGUGGCGAACGGGUGAGUAACACGUGAGUAACCUGCCCACAACUUUGGGAUAACGCUCGGAAACUGGUGCUAAUACUGGAUAUGUGCUCCUGCUGCAUGGUGGGGGUUGGAAAGCUCCGGCGGUUGUGGAUGGACUCGCGGCCUAUCAGCUUGUUGGUGGGGUAGUGGCCUACCAAGGCGGCGACGGGUAGCCGGCCCGAGAGGGUGACCGGCCACAUUGGGACUGAGAUACGGCCCAGACUCCUACGGGGGGGCAGAGGGGGGAAAAAUGGCCAAUGGGCGCAAGCCUGGAGCAGCAAAGCCGCGGGCGGGAUGACGGCCUUCGGGUUGUAAACCGGUUUCAGCAGGGACGAAGCUUUUUGUGACGGUACCUGCAGAAGAAGCACCGGCUAACUACGUG
Molecule: ribosomal RNA, 465 nt
Filed under: uncultured bacterium
Lineage: Bacteria
Description: partial 16S ribosomal RNA
Rfam family: Bacterial small subunit ribosomal RNA
Source: RNAcentral